RNAcentral lists this ribosomal RNA (740 nucleotides) under uncultured bacterium. Its description in RNAcentral is "bacterial SSU rRNA". It matches the Rfam family "Bacterial small subunit ribosomal RNA", at positions 8 to 796 of the family's 1533-position model. The record is from RNAcentral.
AGAGUUUGAUCCUGGCUCAGAACGAACGCUGGCGGCAGGCUUAACACAUGCAAGUCGAACGCACCGCAAGGUGAGUGGCAGACGGGUGAGUAACGCGUGGGAACGUGCCCUUCAGUUCGGGAUAACCCAGGGAAACUUGGGCUAAUACCGGAUACGUGCGAGAGCAGAAAGAUUGAUCGCUGAAGGAUCGGCCCGCGUCUGAUUAGCUAGUUGGUAGGGUAAUGGCCUACCAAGGCGACGAUCAGUAGCUGGUCUGAGAGGAUGAUCAGCCACAUUGGGACUGAGACACGGCCCAAACUCCUACGGGAGGCAGCAGUGGGGGAUAUUGGACAAUGGGCGCAAGCCUGAUCCAGCCAUGCCGCGUGAGUGAUGAAGGCCUUAGGGUUGUAAAGCUCUUUCGGCGGGGACGAUAAUGACGGUACCCGCAGAAGAAGCCCCGGCUAACUUCGUGCCAGCAGCCGCGGUAAUACGAAGGGGGCUAGCGUUGUUCGGAAUCACUGGGCGUAAAGGGCGCGUAGGCGGCCUGAUAAGUCGGGGGUGAAAGCCUGUGGCUCAACCACAGAAUUGCCUUCGAUACUGUCGGGCUUGAGACCGGAAGAGGUAAGUGGAACUGCGAGUGUAGAGGUGAAAUUCGUAGAUAUUCGCAAGAACACCAGUGGCGAAGGCGGCUUACUGGUCCGGUUCUGACGCUGAGGCGCGAAAGCGUGGGGAGCAAACAGGAUUAGAUACCCUAGUAGUCC